Molecule: long non-coding RNA, 229 nt
Filed under: Nicotiana benthamiana
Lineage: Eukaryota; Viridiplantae; Streptophyta; Magnoliopsida; Solanales; Solanaceae
Description: long non-coding RNA (NBEN_LNC019065)
Source: RNAcentral
GGCGUAUAGGAUAAAAAAGGGAAAGCUGCAUUAAGAAACAAAGGUAAAAUUAGAAACACAAGCAAGACAAAACAAAAUAAUAAAGCACAAGUACUCCCACAGAAAUAACGUAAAUAAUUAUGGAAACACAAGCAACAUAAAUACAGUCGCAUGCAAUAAUAACAAGCAGUAACUACCAUAUUAACAACCCUCUGGGGACAUAAGCUAAAACACUAAUCACCUAUGGGUA